AAGACACUAGUAAAACAGUAAUUACACCGCUUUGUCAAGGCAGAGUCGUGGGUUAGACCCCCACGUGUCUUA
RNAcentral lists this transfer RNA (72 nucleotides) under Lagocephalus lagocephalus (oceanic puffer). Its description in RNAcentral is "tRNA-Asp". It matches the Rfam family "tRNA". From Rfam's summary of the family: Transfer RNA (tRNA) molecules are approximately 80 nucleotides in length. The record is from RNAcentral. Lineage: Eukaryota; Metazoa; Chordata; Actinopteri; Tetraodontiformes; Tetraodontidae.